This 411-nucleotide ribosomal RNA is filed under the name uncultured soil bacterium. Its description in RNAcentral is "bacterial SSU rRNA". It matches the Rfam family "Bacterial small subunit ribosomal RNA", at positions 26 to 439 of the family's 1533-position model. The record is from RNAcentral.
AGGACGAACGCUGGCGGCGUGCUUAACACAUGCAAGUCGAGCGGUAAGGCUCCUUCGGGAGUACACGAGCGGCGAACGGGUGAGUAACACGUGAGCAAUCUGCCCUUCUCUUCGGAAUAACCAUUGGAAACGAUGGCUAAUGCCGAAUACGACCUCCUUUCGCAUGAUCGGAGGUGGAAAGCUCCGGCGGAGAAGGAUGAGCUCGCGGCCUAUCAGCUAGUUGGCGGGUAACGGCCCACCAAGGCGACGACGGGUAGCCGGCCUGACGAGGGUGACCGGCCACACUGGGACUGAGACACGGCCCAGACUCCGUACGGAGGCAGCAGUGGGGAUAGUUGGACAAUGGGCGAAAGCCUGAUCCAGCAACGCCGCGUGAGGAUGACGGCCUUCGGGUUCGUAAACCUCUUUCAG